AUUGAACGCUGGCGGCAGGCCUAACACAUGCAAGUCGAACGAGUGGCGGCCGGGUGAGUAAUGUCUGGGAAACUGCCCGAUGGAGGGGAAUACCUACUGGAAACGGUAGCAAAUACCGCAUACCAUCGGAUGUGCCCAGAUGUGAUUAGCUAGUAGGUGGGGUAACGGCUCACCUGGGCGACGAUCCCUAGCUGGUCUGAGAGGAGGACCAGCCACACUGGAACGGAGACACGGGCCAGACUCCUACGGGCGGCAGCAGUGGGGAAUAUUGGACAAGGGGCGCAAGCCUGACGCAGCCAUGCCGCGUGUAUGAAGAAGGCCUUCGGGUUGUAAAGUACUUUCAGCGAGGAGGCGUUACUCGCAGAAGAAGCACCGGCUAACUCCGUGCCAGCAGCCGCGGUAAUUC
This 406-nucleotide ribosomal RNA is filed under the name uncultured bacterium. Its description in RNAcentral is "partial 16S ribosomal RNA". It matches the Rfam family "Bacterial small subunit ribosomal RNA", at positions 29 to 526 of the family's 1533-position model. The record is from RNAcentral.